GUCUUCUCCAUAUUCACUGAGCACACAAGGCCCACACCAUGGGAUGGAGCUGUACCAUUCUUGUCCUUGUGUUAGUAACGAGAGGUGUCCACUCCCAAGUACAGCUGCAUCAGUCAGGGCCUGAACUGGGGAAACCUGGGACCUCAGUGAAAUUGUCCUGCAAGGCUUCAGGCUAUACUUUCACUAACUAUGAAAUGAACUGGGUGAAGCAGAGUCCUGCACAGGUCCUGGAGUGGAUUGGAGCUAUUCAUCCUGGAAGUGGUGGUACUGGCUACAAUCAGAAGUUCCAGAGCAAGGCCAAACUGACUGCAGACACAUCUUCCAGCACAGCCUACAUGGAGCUCAGCAGCCUGACAUCUGAGGACUCUGCGGUCUACUACUGUACAAGACACAGUGUUAUAACCACAUCCUGA
Microtus oregoni (creeping vole) is the source of this 413-nucleotide non-coding RNA. Lineage: Eukaryota; Metazoa; Chordata; Mammalia; Rodentia; Cricetidae. The record is from the annotation of a RefSeq genome assembly.